CUACGAAAGGAAUUGGACGGGACCCGCACAAGCGGUGGAUGAUGUGGAUUAAUUCGAUGCAACGACGAAAAACCUUACCUACCCUUGACAUGUCUGGAAUGCCGAAGAGAUUGGUAGUGCUCGCAAGAGAACCGGAACACAGGUGCUGCAUGGCUGUCGUCAGCUCGUGUCGUGAGAUGUUGGGUUAAGUCCCGCAACGAGCGCAACCCUUGUCAUUAGUUGCUACGAAAGGGCACUCUAAUGAGACUGCCGGUGACAAACCGGAGGAAGGUGGGGAUGACGUCAAGUCCUCAUGGCCCUUAUGGGUAGGGCUUCACACGUCAUACAAUGGUCGGGACAGAGGGUCGCCAACCCGCGAGGGGGAGCCAAUCCCAGAAACCCGAUCGUAGUCCGGAUCGCAGUCUGCAACUCGACUGCGUGAAGUCGGAAUCGCUAGUAAUCGCGGAUCAGCAUGUCGCGGUGAAUACGUUCCCGGGUCUU
Molecule: ribosomal RNA, 480 nt
Filed under: uncultured Achromobacter sp.
Lineage: Bacteria; Pseudomonadati; Pseudomonadota; Betaproteobacteria; Burkholderiales; Alcaligenaceae
Description: bacterial SSU rRNA
Rfam family: Bacterial small subunit ribosomal RNA
Source: RNAcentral